UGGGGAAUUUUGGACAAUGGGCGAAAGCCUGAUCCAGCAAUGCCGCGUGUGUGAAGAAGGCCUUCGGGUUGUAAAGCACUUUUGUCCGGAAAGAAAUCCUUGGCUCUAAUACAGUCGGGGGAUGACGGUACCGGAAGAAUAAGCACCGGCUAACUACGUGCCAGCAGCCGCGGUAAUACGUAGGGUGCAAGCGUUAAUCGGAAUUACUGGGCGUAAAGCGUGCGCAGGCGGUUUGCUAAGACCGAUGUGAAAUCCCCGGGCUCAACCUGGGAACUGCAUUGGUGACUGGCAGGCUAGAGUAUGGCAGAGGGGGGUAGAAUUCCACGUGUAGCAGUGAAAUGCGUAGAGAUGUGGAGGAAUACCGAUGGCGAAGGCAGCCCCCUGGGCCAAUACUGACGCUCAUGCACGAAAGCGUGGGGGAGCAAAACAGGAUUAGAUACCCUGGUAGUCCACGCCCUAAACGAUGUCAACUAGUUGUUGGGGAUUCAUUUCCUUAGUAACGUAGCUAACGCGUGAAGUUGACCGCCUGGGGAGUACGGUCGCAAGAUUAAAACUUAAAGGAAUUGACGGGGUCAUAGCUGUUUCCU
Molecule: ribosomal RNA, 587 nt
Filed under: uncultured bacterium
Lineage: Bacteria
Description: partial 16S ribosomal RNA
Rfam family: Bacterial small subunit ribosomal RNA
Source: RNAcentral